UACGGGGGGGGCAAGCGUUGUUCGGAAUUACUGGGCGUAAAGGGCUCGUAGGUGGCCAACUAAGUCAUACGUGAAAUCCCUCGGCUUAACCGGGGAACUGCGUCUGAUACUGGAUGGCUUGAGUUCGGGAGAGGGAUGCGGAAUUCCAGGUGUAGCGGUGAAAUGCGUAGAUAUCUGGAGGAACACCGGUGGCGAAGGCGGCAUCCUGGACCGGCACUGACACUGAGGAGCGAAAGCCAGGGGAGCAAACGGG
This 253-nucleotide ribosomal RNA is filed under the name uncultured bacterium. RNAcentral's name for it is "partial 16S ribosomal RNA". It matches the Rfam family "Bacterial small subunit ribosomal RNA", at positions 524 to 776 of the family's 1533-position model. The record is from RNAcentral.